This 2392-nucleotide ribosomal RNA is filed under the name Salmonella enterica subsp. enterica serovar Enteritidis. Its description in RNAcentral is "partial 23S ribosomal RNA". It matches the Rfam family "Bacterial large subunit ribosomal RNA", at positions 430 to 2803 of the family's 2925-position model. Lineage: Bacteria; Pseudomonadati; Pseudomonadota; Gammaproteobacteria; Enterobacterales; Enterobacteriaceae. The record is from RNAcentral.
UAUCCUGUCUGAAUAUGGGGGGACCAUCCUCCAAGGCUAAAUACUCCUGACUGACCGAUAGUGAACCAGUACCGUGAGGGAAAGGCGAAAAGAACCCCGGCGAGGGGAGUGAAAAAGAACCUGAAACCGUGUACGUACAAGCAGUGGGAGCACAGGUUUACCUGUGUGACUGCGUACCUUUUGUAUAAUGGGUCAGCGACUUAUAUUCUGUAGCAAGGUUAACCGAAUAGGGGAGCCGGAGGGAAACCGAGUCUUAAUUGGGCGUUAAGUUGCAGGGUAUAGACCCGAAACCCGGUGAUCUAGCCAUGGGCAGGUUGAAGGUUGGGUAACACUAACUGGAGGACCGAACCGACUAAUGUUGAAAAAUUAGCGGAUGACCUGUGGCUGGGGGUGAAAGGCCAAUCAAACCGGGAGAUAGCUGGUUCUCCCCGAAAGCUAUUUAGGUAGCGCCUCGUGAAUUCAUCUCCGGGGGUAGAGCACUGUUUCGGCUAGGGGGCCAUCCCGGCUUACCAACCCGAUGCAAACUGCGAAUACCGGAGAAUGUUAUCACGGGAGACACACGGCGGGUGCUAACGUCCGUCGUGAAGAGGGAAACAACCCAGACCGCCAGCUAAGGUCCCAAAGUCAUGGUUAAGUGGGAAACGAUGUGGGAAGGCCCAGACAGCCAGGAUGUUGGCUUAGAAGCAGCCAUCAUUUAAAGAAAGCGUAAUAGCUCACUGGUCGAGUCGGCCUGCGCGGAAGAUGUAACGGGGCUAAACCAUGCACCGAAGCUGCGGCAGCGACGCUUAUGCGUUGUUGGGUAGGGGAGCGUUCUGUAAGCCUGCGAAGGUGGCCUGUGAGGGUUGCUGGAGGUAUCAGAAGUGCGAAUGCUGACAUAAGUAACGAUAAAGCGGGUGAAAAGCCCGCUCGCCGGAAGACCAAGGGUUCCUGUCCAACGUUAAUCGGGGCAGGGUGAGUCGACCCCUAAGGCGAGGCCGAAAGGCGUAGUCGAUGGGAAACGGGUUAAUAUUCCCGUACUUGGUGUUACUGCGAAGGGGGGACGGAGAAGGCUAUGUUGGCCGGGCGACGGUUGUCCCGGUUUAAGCGUGUAGGUGUGUGUUCCAGGUAAAUCCGGUUCACUUUAACACUGAGGCGUGACGACGAGGCACUACGGUGCUGAAGCAACAAAUGCCCUGCUUCCAGGAAAAGCCUCUAAGCAUCAGGUAACAUCAAAUCGUACCCCAAACCGACACAGGUGGUCAGGUAGAGAAUACCAAGGCGCUUGAGAGAACUCGGGUGAAGGAACUAGGCAAAAUGGUGCCGUAACUUCGGGAGAAGGCACGCUGACACGUAGGUGAAGUGAUUUACUCAUGGAGCUGAAGUCAGUCGAAGAUACCAGCUGGCUGCAACUGUUUAUUAAAAACACAGCACUGUGCAAACACGAAAGUGGACGUAUACGGUGUGACGCCUGCCCGGUGCCGGAAGGUUAAUUGAUGGGGUCAGCGCAAGCGAAGCUCCUGAUCGAAGCCCCGGUAAACGGCGGCCGUAACUAUAACGGUCCUAAGGUAGCGAAAUUCCUUGUCGGGUAAGUUCCGACCUGCACGAAUGGCGUAAUGAUGGCCAGGCUGUCUCCACCCGAGACUCAGUGAAAUUGAACUCGCUGUGAAGAUGCAGUGUACCCGCGGCAAGACGGAAAGACCCCGUGAACCUUUACUAUAGCUUGACACUGAACAUUGAGCCUUGAUGUGUAGGAUAGGUGGGAGGCUUUGAAGUGUGGACGCCAGUCUGCAUGGAGCCGACCUUGAAAUACCACCCUUUAAUGUUUGAUGUUCUAACGUGGACCCGUUACCCGGGUUGCGGACAGUGUCUGGUGGGUAGUUUGACUGGGGCGGUCUCCUCCUAAAGAGUAACGGAGGAGCACGAAGGUUGGCUAAUCCUGGUCGGACAUCAGGAGGUUAGUGCAAUGGCAUAAGCCAGCUUGACUGCGAGCGUGACGGCGCGAGCAGGUGCGAAAGCAGGUCAUAGUGAUCCGGUGGUUCUGAAUGGAAGGGCCAUCGCUCAACGGAUAAAAGGUACUCCGGGGAUAACAGGCUGAUACCGCCCAAGAGUUCAUAUCGACGGCGGUGUUUGGCACCUCGAUGUCGGCUCAUCACAUCCUGGGGCUGAAGUAGGUCCCAAGGGUAUGGCUGUUCGCCAUUUAAAGUGGUACGCGAGCUGGGUUUAGAACGUCGUGAGACAGUUCGGUCCCUAUCUGCCGUGGGCGCUGGAGAACUGAGGGGGGCUGCUCCUAGUACGAGAGGACCGGAGUGGACGCAUCACUGGUGUUCGGGUUGUCAUGCCAAUGGCACUGCCCGGUAGCUAAAUGCGGAAGAGAUAAGUGCUGAAAGCAUCUAAGCACGAAACUUGCCCCGAG